CGUGUAGGCGGUUUAAUAAGUCAGAUGUAAAAGCCCCCGGCUCAACCGGGGAUGGUCAUUUGAAACUGUUAGGCUUGAGUGCGAGAGAGGGUAGUGGAAUUCCCAGUGUAGCGGUGAAGUGCGUAGAUAUUGGGAAGAACACCAGUAGCGAAGGCGGCUACCUGGCUCGCAACUGACGCUAAGGCGCGAAAGCGUGGGGAGCAAACA
RNAcentral lists this ribosomal RNA (207 nucleotides) under uncultured bacterium. RNAcentral describes it as "partial 16S ribosomal RNA". It matches the Rfam family "Bacterial small subunit ribosomal RNA", at positions 568 to 774 of the family's 1533-position model. The record is from RNAcentral.